GGACCAAGGAGUCUAGCAUGUGCGCGAGUCGUUGGGACUUGCGAAACCCAAAGGCGCAAUGAAAGUGAAGGCCAGCCUUGCGCAGGCCGAGGGAGGAUGGGUCGCGUCACGACGCGGCCCCGCACUCCCGGGGCGUCUCGUUCUCAUUGCGAGAAGAGGCGCACCCAGAGCGUACACGCUGGGACCCGAAAGAUGGUGAACUAUGCCUGGUCAGGACGAAGUCAGGGGAAACCCUGAUGGAGGUCCGUAGCGAUUCUGACGUGCAAAUCGAUCGUCGGAACUGGGUAUAGGGGCGAAAGACUAAUCGAACCAUCUAGUAGCUGGUUCCCUCCGAAGUUUCCCUCAGGAUAGCUGGCGCUCGCCGUUGCGAGUCUCAUCCGGUAAAGCGAAUGAUUAGAGGCAUUGGGGUCGAAACGGCCUCAACCUAUUCUCAAACUUUAAAUGGGUGAGAUCUCCGGCUUGCUCGAACUUGAAGCCGCGAGAUUACACUUUAUAGUAAAAGGAUCAGAGUGCCAAGUGGGCCACUUUUGGUAAGCAGAACUGGCGCUGUGGGAUGAACCAAACGCAGAGUU
This 572-nucleotide ribosomal RNA is filed under the name Helochares sp. 5 MTM-2009. Its description in RNAcentral is "eukaryotic LSU rRNA". It matches the Rfam family "Eukaryotic large subunit ribosomal RNA", at positions 663 to 1181 of the family's 3401-position model. Lineage: Eukaryota; Metazoa; Arthropoda; Insecta; Coleoptera; Hydrophilidae. The record is from RNAcentral.